RNAcentral lists this ribosomal RNA (459 nucleotides) under uncultured Kurthia sp. RNAcentral describes it as "partial 16S ribosomal RNA". It matches the Rfam family "Bacterial small subunit ribosomal RNA", at positions 341 to 792 of the family's 1533-position model. Lineage: Bacteria; Bacillati; Bacillota; Bacilli; Caryophanales; Caryophanaceae. The record is from RNAcentral.
ACGGAAGGCAGCAGUAGGGAAUCUUCCACAAUGGACGAAAGUCUGAUGGAGCAACGCCGCGUGAGUGAUGAAGGUUUUCGGAUCGUAAAACUCUGUUGUAAGGGAAGAACAAGUGCGUUAGGUAAUGAAUGCACCUUGACGGUACCUUAUCAGAAAGCCACGGCUAACUACGUGCCAGCAGCCGCGGUAAUACGUAGGUGGCAAGCGUUGUCCGGAUUUAUUGGGCGUAAAGCGCGCGCAGGUGGUUUCUUAAGUCUGAUGUGAAAGCCCCCGGCUCAACCGGGGGGGGGCAUUGGAAACUGGGAGACUUGAGUGCAGAAGAGGAUAGUGGAAUUCCAAGUGUAGCGGUGAAAUGCGUAGAGAUUUGGAGGAACACCAGUGGCGAAGGCGACUGUCUGGUCUGUAACUGACACUGAGGCGCGAAAGCGUGGGGAGCAAACAGGAUUAGAUACCCUGGUA